CUGCCUUUGGGUUUUCAUGCAAAGCAGUGGUAGCUCCACAUAGCCAGAGUCACCCUGGGGUUAUCCCAUGGACACAGAGCAGGCCACCUCUGGCCAGCAUCACCAAGCCCUGAGAGCAACGUGGGGUGAUUGCAGCUGCGUAGUGAAUCGCCACAGAGCUGCUGCUGCCCCAGUUAGCACAGCUGCAACAGUACCAUCUACUCAUUCACCUUUUCCUGUAUCAUGAGAACAACACAUUGAGAAUGAGGCAUCAGCAUCGAAAUGUACAGACAGCACCAUCUUUUGGAAGCCUCCCAGCUGAUCUCUAAGGAAGGCUGCCCAAAAGAAGGGAUUGGAGCUUCCUGGACAACUGACACACCUUUCUGACUCCCCCAGCUUUGACCAGUAUGUGAAGUAUUCCCUGCUCACAACUGCCUAGGUUGCCAGGAAUUCCAUGGGUCCACCAAGCUUGCAGCUGCCUCAGGAGCCAUCAGGAUCCAUCCCAACCCCUGACUGAGAGCUGCAAGGUGACAAUUCCCACACAGGGAGAGAAGCAGGUGCUGGCCAAGGGUGGUUCUUCUACAAACAGCCUGGGCUCAGCAGGGCUCAGCCACCUCUGGCCUGGUGGUGUCUGGCAGUGGGAGGUGAGCCGGGGUCAGGGAACACAUUUCUAAGCCAGCUCCUACUGCCUGAUGAUGGAUCCAGGUCAAAUGGACCCAAAUGGAGGCUUCCCGCCAGACCUUGGCCGAUGACUGCAGCAAAGAACACUGCCUGCAGCCACAGGGAGAGACAAAGCCAGCAGCUUGUUUAAUAAGCCACAUAUUUGCAGACAGAAGUGGAAGUGCAGGAGAGCAAAGCACCUGGGGAGGAGCAGCAGCAGCUCCCCAGGGUUAUAAAUACAGAUUGUAUUGUUGGCUUUUCACAAAUAUUAAAAUGAAUGCUAUAUGGAUAAUGUUGAAAUAACUUUGCUGUAUGUUAUAGUUUUUUAAAUUAUUUCUGCUAUGACCAAAACUUGGAAAUAGCAGUGUGAUAAACAUAUAUAUUUCUUAGGCUAUCGCAUAAUAUUAAAUGGACACAAUGGGAUGGUGAGGGGCUUUCCCCUUUGGAAAGAGGGGCUGGCAACUCAGGAAAUGUUUAAGGAUGUUGCCAGGUCAUGUAGGAAGAAGAUUAGAGAGGCAAAAGCCCAAUAAGAACUUGAGGAAAUCCUGUCAUUGCAAUCAACUCUUCCUUCCCAAAAUGCCAUCCUUGGCUGGAGUAUAAAUGGAACUGGAAUGCCAAGUGCUGGGCUCCUGAGGCCCAGGGACACACACCCUAAUGCCAGGGAUGGUUUACUUGGCCUAAACCAUUCAACGUGGGGCCAUACAUUAGUUUUAGUCUUGGGCCACGUAUUUCAUGAGAUGCAUUUUUCAAACCAACCUCCUCUUCUCUUCAUUCUCGUGUUCCUCAGUAGGAAAAGCCUUCCACUGGAAGUGGGCUGUGAUGUUACUGCUGUUUUUGAUGAACAUGGUUGCGUGGUUUGACAUGUUGACAAAAGUCUUCUCAACCUUCACGAAAUUUGUGCUCAACUCAAUGUUUACAUCUUCAGCUUUUCCCUGAAGGUUUGUGUGAAUACUUUUUUCACCUGGAACAAAGCAGAGUCUUUGUUCAGCUCAGUUGCUGAUGGAAGCACAAGGAACAGAGCAAACCACAGGUCACAGAACAAAGUGUCACAGCUUUAGCUGUAUUAGCAGUUCCAUGGAUCAGUAU
Molecule: long non-coding RNA, 1725 nt
Organism: Hirundo rustica (Barn swallow)
Lineage: Eukaryota; Metazoa; Chordata; Aves; Passeriformes; Hirundinidae
Exons: 4
Source: RefSeq, a predicted model, not a curated record